UAUUACAUAUGUAAGUCACUCACGAUUGGUUACAAUCAUUACGGUCGUACGAACUUCAAGCAGUGCUUCUACGUACUAAGAUAAAACAGAUGUCUAAUACAACAAAGUUUCUCUUUCAAAGUGUCGACAAUGAAGAUCUGUGAAAAAGAAAACGUAACGCAUCGUACACAACAUUCCCCGGCCACUAACAUUACACUAGACAGUAGACAGUAAGACAGUCAAUUAAAGUUUACAUUUUCCUUGACGUCAAUGGCUGAACUGAAAAAAUGUUGGUCAAGUUCCGCGUAAAAGAGUAUUAUCACGAUGAGAAUCGAAUAAAGAUCAGUGACGAACUGAUUGUAAUUAUUUGAUGCAGAGUUUCGUGUCCCAGAGGGAUUCAUAAGGACUCAGGAAAUUGUCAGAAAGCUGUAAAUCACCUUCAGCUUCUUCCAGCGCUACCACAAGACAGACUCGUGAUACUUAUUACGGCUUAAACAUGAAAACCACAAGUCUGUCACGAUUGCAGGCCAAAUACUAAAUCGCAUAUAGAUAAGUAUCUACGUGAUUUCUUCGGCUUAUUUCGCGAGCAACUGCGUUGCCCAGUACGGUUCGUCUGUUACGACAUUCACAUGUAGCGGAAGGAGUUAAUGAGGGAUGCAUACACACAUGGAGCGGUGUAAAAAACGACCUCUCUUUGGAAUUCUCUUUCUCGGAAAAUAUGAGUAUUUUCUUUUACUAAUUUACUCGUAUCUUUGAUUGUAAUUAUUAGUUUUAUAAAAGUAUUUACGUCAUACUGCAGUUACAACGGGUAAUUGAAAAUUCGCCAUUUACUGCAGUAAUUUGUGAUGCUCGUACUAAUGUAAACAUUUUACAUCGAACUAUUUACCUAAUGUAUAUUUAAUACUGACAUUAAUCAUUUUUUAGCUUCUAGCUUUUAACCCAACAGAAAAAUAUUAUUUUAAUUCGGGCGUAUCCUAAUAAUAUUCUAAUAGUCUAUUUUUAAAUCCCCAAUUUUCAAGAUCUAAACGAACGAAUAUCAAUUUUUCUAGGAACAAUAGAAUAAACCGUGCUAUAAACAUCCGUAAAUGUAGUAUUAAGAAUAUUUUUAAUUUUCUUGUUUCUAUUCGCCAUGAGCGUUUCAAUCAUUUGCAUCGAUUUUUAGGACACACGUUUAUUCCGAAAGGGGCAACACCGAGAAACAGCAUCAUGAUUAACACUGUAUAAAGCAUUAUGUAUAACCAAGAAGUAACUAAAUGAAUUAUAAAAAAAGCUGAAAGCUUAUUUACUAUAUACCGUUACCUAUAUUAUAAAUUAUCAAGUCUUGAGAGUUGAUUAAUAGGUAUGAAAAUUGGUUAACCCUUUGCGGACAAAUGUCGACAUUUCGGCGAAAUGAAAUGUUGAUGUUUCUGGUUUUCCUAUUAUUUAAGCAAUUGGUAUAUAAUUUAGCUUCGUCUGCUGAAAGUUUUGUAUACUUCAAAGGAUCUUCGUCCGCUAAGUGUUAAAUACUAAUGUUAUUAUGUAUCUGUUCGAAUACUGUGACGGAGUUAUUGGUGACCACAUAAUUACUUGAAAGCAAUAGCGUGCACAAUGACGGAGAUAAAUAUUGACGUUGAGUGGGGAGCUUGAAGUGAGUUGCUCGGUCCGCGUUAGCUAUUCAGUAAACGGCAAUUAAAAGAGAAAUUUCUUUCAAAUAAUAGACAUUGGUACUAGAGGAGCUGCUUUUUAAGGAAGAGACAUGGAGGAAGUUCUAGGAGAGUUUUCAUUUUACAAUUGCUAAAUGAGACUUCAGCAAGUCAAAAUAUUGUCAAAAUUACAUAUUUAGAGUACACAUUCUUCAAUUAUUUUUUUGACAUGUUUGUAAAACUGUUUUCAUGUCUGUAAAGAACCCACGAUUUUCAGUUUCAGUAAUCGAAAAUCCCUCCGAAAUGAGAAAUUUAACCCUUUGCGGACGAACGUCCGCAUUUUGCAUUGUUCAAUCCUCCAUGCUUGGAAUACCAAGUUGCAAAGAAAUGAUUGAAUCAUUCGAACAGCAAGAAAUCAGUACAAAGUUUCCUUAUUCUGUCUGAUUUAAGCAUUCAGUGUUUUAUUUAGCAGAAUUUGCAAAAGCUUUUGUAUACUUCCAACAAUCUUCGUCCGCAAAGGGUUAAAUACAAAAUUUUGCUGCCCGGAUAGUCAGUACCUAUAUGCUUCAACUGAUAUGUACGAUCCAAAAUAAGUGGUUAUCAACAUUCAACGGGUGAAGGUCUAACACGUUUACGAUUUUUUCGAAUUCAACUCACCUGAAGAAUUAGCGUUUUCAGCUCUUGGUCGCUGAGAAAUGCCGGUUUGUAGUGACCCUCCGUGUAUGAGGUCACAGCUCCGAGGAUAGUCUUAAGGUGUUGGACUGCCAUUCUGAGCACUGUCAGCUUGUCCAAUUUCCGGGACAUCGCGUGGCACAUCGGUAUCAUCGCCGAUAACUCCGUGAUGUAGGUGUUCAUUUUGUCCCUUCUUCUUUUCUCGAUCUCGCUGUGAUUUUGUCUGUAACGCAGCAGAAGAAGAAAAUCUUUACUGAAUUACUGAUUCAUAAGAACAAGAUUGUAUCAUAUACGAUGUCAUUCAAACCAAUCUCGAUAUUUAUCUUAAGCAUUCGUCCUGUGAAAUACCGCGAACGUUCUCACGCAAGAAUAAUUAGCUGAUGAAGGAAAGGAAUUCAAGAAAUGCAGAGAGAAAACAUAGACGUGUCAAAUACACCCGUUUCUGUCAAUUAAUUAAUUGAUGAAUUAUUUUCCUUACUUCUUCAGUUUGCUUAUUUUUCGAUAGUCGAAUAAUUUCCAGUAGUCAUAUUAGCUUUGGUAUCAUUCUUACUGGGUUUGUACUUCAUAUAAAAUUCUGAUAAUAUU
Molecule: long non-coding RNA, 2858 nt
Organism: Nomia melanderi (Alkali bee)
Lineage: Eukaryota; Metazoa; Arthropoda; Insecta; Hymenoptera; Halictidae
Source: RefSeq, a predicted model, not a curated record